Molecule: ribosomal RNA, 683 nt
Filed under: Humibacillus sp. Z1-YC6846
Lineage: Bacteria; Bacillati; Actinomycetota; Actinomycetes; Micrococcales; Intrasporangiaceae
Description: bacterial SSU rRNA
Rfam family: Bacterial small subunit ribosomal RNA
Source: RNAcentral
GGCGUAACGGGUUGAGUAACACGUGAGUAACCUGCCCCAGACUCUGGGAUAACCCCGGGAAACCGGAGCUAAUACCGGAUAUGACCCUCGUACGCAUGUGCAGGGGGUGGAAAGUUUUUUCGGUCUGGGAUGGGCUCGCGGCCUAUCAGCUUGUUGGUGAGGUAGUGGCUCACCAAGGCGACGACGGGUAGCCGGCCUGAGAGGGCGACCGGCCACACUGGGACUGAGACACGGCCCAGACUCCUACGGGAGGCAGCAGUGGGGAAUAUUGCACAAUGGGCGGAAGCCUGAUGCAGCGACGCCGCGUGAGGGAUGACGGCCUUCGGGUUGUAAACCUCUUUCAGCAGGGAAGAAGCGCAAGUGACGGUACCUGCAGAAGAAGCACCGGCUAACUACGUGCCAGCAGCCGCGGUAAUACGUAGGGUGCGAGCGUUGUCCGGAAUUAUUGGGCGUAAAGAGCUUGUAGGCGGUUUGUCGCGUCUGCUGUGAAAAUCCGGGGCUCAACCCCGGACUUGCAGUGGGUACGGGCAGACUAGAGUGUGGUAGGGGAGACUGGAAUUCCUGGUGUAGCGGUGGAAUGCGCAGAUAUCAGGAGGAACACCGAUGGCGAAGGCAGGUCUCUGGGCCACUACUGACGCUGAGAAGCGAAAGCAUGGGGAGCGAACAGGAUUAGAUACCCUGGU